Molecule: ribosomal RNA, 253 nt
Filed under: uncultured bacterium
Lineage: Bacteria
Description: partial 16S ribosomal RNA
Rfam family: Bacterial small subunit ribosomal RNA
Source: RNAcentral
UACAGAGGGGGCAAGCGUUGUUCGGAAUUACUGGGCGUAAAGGGCGCGUAGGUGGCCUUCUAAGUCGAACGUGAAAUCCCCGAGCUCAACUCGGGAACUGCGUCCGAUACUGGUGGGCUUGAAUCCGGGAGAGGGAUGCGGAAUUCCAGGUGUAGCGGUGAAAUGCGUAGAUAUCUGGAGGAACACCGGUGGCGAAGGCGGCAUCCUGGACCGGCAUUGACGCUGAGGCGCGAAAGCUAGGGGAGCAAACGGG